RNAcentral lists this long non-coding RNA (216 nucleotides) under Lathyrus oleraceus (garden pea). Its description in RNAcentral is "Pisum sativum (pea) long non-coding RNA (PSAT_LNC033906)". The record is from RNAcentral. Lineage: Eukaryota; Viridiplantae; Streptophyta; Magnoliopsida; Fabales; Fabaceae.
GUAAAGCACAUCACCAUUCAGUUAGAAGUUUCCAGCUAAUCUUCUCAAAGUCUUCUUAUCUUUCAAAGAUGCCCCUGACGAGUAAAUCUGACUUUGGAGGAAACACUUGAUAUCAAAAUACCACGGCUUUUCAUCUUUGACCUCUUCAACAGCAAAUACAUGAGUUGUCCUAUCAAGACGCAUUACAGUCAGAUUAUGAACUUCAUUCCAGAAUUU